RNAcentral lists this non-coding RNA (84 nucleotides) under Otolemur garnettii (small-eared galago). Lineage: Eukaryota; Metazoa; Chordata; Mammalia; Primates; Galagidae. The record is from RNAcentral.
GGUUGGUCUGAGCACAGUUUCACUACUAGUCAGAGAUUUCAUUGUUCCCUCUCUACUUCCACGGCUUCACUUGACUAGCCUUAC